This 531-nucleotide ribosomal RNA is filed under the name Botryosphaeria dothidea. RNAcentral's name for it is "eukaryotic LSU rRNA". The stretch from base 161 to 314 matches the Rfam family "5.8S ribosomal RNA". Lineage: Eukaryota; Fungi; Ascomycota; Dothideomycetes; Botryosphaeriales; Botryosphaeriaceae. The record is from RNAcentral.
GCCCGAUCCUCCCACCCUUUGUGUACCUACCUCUGUUGCUUUGGCGGGCCGCGGUCCUCCGCGGCCGCCCCCCUCCCCGGGGGGGUGGCCAGCGCCCGCCAGAGGACCAUCAAACUCCAGUCAGUAAACGAUGCAGUCUGAAAAACAUUUAAUAAACUAAAACUUUCAACAACGGAUCUCUUGGUUCUGGCAUCGAUGAAGAACGCAGCGAAAUGCGAUAAGUAAUGUGAAUUGCAGAAUUCAGUGAAUCAUCGAAUCUUUGAACGCACAUUGCGCCCUUUGGUAUUCCGAAGGGCAUGCCUGUUCGAGCGUCAUUACAACCCUCAAGCUCUGCUUGGUAUUGGGCACCGUCCUUUGCGGGCGCGCCUCAAAGACCUCGGCGGUGGCGUCUUGCCUCAAGCGUAGUAGAACAUACAUCUCGCUUCGGAGCGCAGGGCGUCGCCCGCCGGACGAACCUUCUGAACUUUUCUCAAGGUUGACCUCGGAUCAGGUAGGGAUACCCGCUGAACUUAAGCAUAUCAAUAAGGCGGA